Molecule: ribosomal RNA, 520 nt
Filed under: uncultured bacterium
Lineage: Bacteria
Description: bacterial SSU rRNA
Rfam family: Bacterial small subunit ribosomal RNA
Source: RNAcentral
GGGAAUCUGCCCUUGGGUUCGGAAUAACAGUUAGAAAUGACUGCUAAUACCGGAUGAUGUCUUCGGACCAAAGAUUUAUCGCCCAAGGAUGAGCCCGCGUAGGAUUAGGUAGUUGGUGGGGUAAUGGCCCACCAAGCCGACGAUCCUUAGCUGGUCUGAGAGGAUGAUCAGCCACACUGGGACUGAGACACGGCCCAGACUCCUACGGGAGGCAGCAGUGGGGAAUAUUGGACAAUGGGCGAAAGCCUGAUCCAGCAAUGCCGCGUGAGUGAUGAAGGCCUUAGGGUUGUAAAGCUCUUUUACCCGGGAUGAUAAUGACAGUACCGGGAGAAUAAGCUCCGGCUAACUCCGUGCCAGCAGCCGCGGUAAUACGGAGGGAGCUAGCGUUGUUCGGAAUUACUGGGCGUAAAGCGUGCGUAGGCGGUUAUUCAAGUCAGAGGUGAAAGCCCGGGGCUCAACCCCGGAACUGCCUUUGAAACUAGGUAGCUAGAAUCUUGGAGAGGUCAGUGGAAUUCCGAGU